UACGGAGGGUGCAAGCGUUAUCCGGAUUUACUGGGUUUAAAGGGUGCGCAGGCGGAUAUGUAAGUCAGUGGUGAAAUCUUCCCGCUUAACGGGUAAACUGCCGUUGAUACUAUAUAUCUUGAAUGCUGUGGAGGUAAGCAGAAUAUGUCAUGUAGCGGUGAAAUGCUUAGAUAUGACAUAGAAUACCGAUUGCGAAGGCAGCUUACUACACAGAUAUUGACGCUCAUGCACGAAAGCGUGGGGAUCAAACAGG
Molecule: ribosomal RNA, 253 nt
Filed under: uncultured bacterium
Lineage: Bacteria
Description: partial 16S ribosomal RNA
Rfam family: Bacterial small subunit ribosomal RNA
Source: RNAcentral